GAACUUAGGUUAUACAAACCCGAAGCCUUCAAAGCCUCAAAAAAGAGCACAACUCUCUUAGUGCCUGCACUAAAGCCUG
Molecule: transfer RNA, 79 nt
Filed under: Bronchocela shenlong
Lineage: Eukaryota; Metazoa; Chordata; Lepidosauria; Squamata; Agamidae
Description: tRNA-Trp
Source: RNAcentral